AAAUUGAAGAGUUUGAUCAUGGCUCAGAUUGAACGCUGGCGGCAGGCCUAACACAUGCAAGUCGAGCGGUAACACAGAGAGCUUGCUCUCGGGUGACGAGCGGCGGACGGGUGAGUAAUGUCUGGGAAACUGCCUGAUGGAGGGGGAUAACUACUGGAAACGGUAGCUAAUACCGCAUAACGUCGCAAGACCAAAGUGGGGGACCUUCGGGCCUCAUGCCAUCAGAUGUGCCCAGAUGGGAUUAGCUAGUAGGUGGGGUAAUGGCUCACCUAGGCGACGAUCCCUAGCUGGUCUGAGAGGAUGACCAGCCACACUGGAACUGAGACACGGUCCAGACUCCUACGGGAGGCAGCAGUGGGGAAUAUUGCACAAUGGGCGCAAGCCUGAUGCAGCCAUGCCGCGUGUAUGAAGAAGGCCUUCGGGUUGUAAAGUACUUUCAGCGAGGAGGAAGGCGUUAAGGUUAAUAACCUUGGCGAUUGACGUUACUCGCAGAAGAAGCACCGGCUAACUCCGUGCCAGCAGCCGCGGUAAUACGGAGGGUGCAAGCGUUAAUCGGAAUUACUGGGCGUAAAGCGCACGCAGGCGGUCUGUCAAGUCGGAUGUGAAAUCCCCGGGCUCAACCUGGGAACUGCAUUCGAAACUGGCAGGCUAGAGUCUUGUAGAGGGGGGUAGAAUUCCAGGUGUAGCGGUGAAAUGCGUAGAGAUCUGGAGGAAUACCGGUGGCGAAGGCGGCCCCCUGGACAAAGACUGACGCUCAGGUGCGAAAGCGUGGGGAGCAAACAGGAUUAGAUACCCUGGUAGUCCACGCCGUAAACGAUGUCGACUUGGAGGUUGUGCCCUUGAGGCGUGGCUUCCGGAGCUAACGCGUUAAGUCGACCGCCUGGGGAGUACGGCCGCAAGGUUAAAACUCAAAUGAAUUGACGGGGGCCCGCACAAGCGGUGGAGCAUGUGGUUUAAUUCGAUGCAACGCGAAGAACCUUACCUACUCUUGACAUCCAGAGAACUUAGCAGAGAUGCUUUGGUGCCUUCGGGAACUCUGAGACAGGUGCUGCAUGGCUGUCGUCAGCUCGUGUUGUGAAAUGUUGGGUUAAGUCCCGCAACGAGCGCAAC
RNAcentral lists this ribosomal RNA (1110 nucleotides) under Klebsiella aerogenes. RNAcentral's name for it is "bacterial SSU rRNA". It matches the Rfam family "Bacterial small subunit ribosomal RNA", at positions 1 to 1102 of the family's 1533-position model. Lineage: Bacteria; Pseudomonadati; Pseudomonadota; Gammaproteobacteria; Enterobacterales; Enterobacteriaceae. The record is from RNAcentral.